CCUACGGGAGGCAGCAGUGAGGAAUAUUGGUCAAUGAGCGCAAGCCUGAACCAGCCAAGUAGCGUGAAGGAUGACUGCCCUACGGGUUGUAAACUUCUUUUAUAAAGGAAUAAAGUGAGGCACGUGUGCCUUUUUGUAUGUACUUUAUGAAUAAGCAUCGGCUAACUCCGUGCCAGCAGCCGCGGUAAUACGGAGGAUCCGAGCGUUAUCCGGAUUUAUUGGGUUUAAAGGGGGCGUAGGUGGGAUGUUAAGUCAGUUGUUAAAGUUCGCGGCUCAACCGUAAAAUUGCAAUUGAUACUGGCAGCCUUGAGAACAGUUGAGGUAGGCGGAAUUCGUGGUGUAGCGGUGAAAUGCUUAGAUAUCGCGAAGAACUCCGAUUGCGAAGGCAGCUUACUA
Molecule: ribosomal RNA, 396 nt
Filed under: uncultured bacterium
Lineage: Bacteria
Description: partial 16S ribosomal RNA
Rfam family: Bacterial small subunit ribosomal RNA
Source: RNAcentral